Molecule: ribosomal RNA, 311 nt
Filed under: uncultured bacterium
Lineage: Bacteria
Description: bacterial SSU rRNA
Rfam family: Bacterial small subunit ribosomal RNA
Source: RNAcentral
AAUGAACGCUGGCGGCGUGGAUUAGGCAUGCAAGUCGAACGGACCCUCUUUUCUUCGGAGUUAAGGGUUAGUGGCGACCUGGUGAGUACAAGUUGGGUAACCUGCCCAGAAGUGGGGGAUAACUCCUUGAAAGAGGGGCUAAUACCGCAUAGUGUUAUGUUUUCUUCGGAGGAUAUAACUAAAGGCUUCGGCCGCUUUUGGAUGGGUCCGACUCCCAUUAGCUUGUUGGUAGGGUAAAGGCCUACCAAGGCGACGAUGGGUAGGUGGUCUGAGAGGAUGGUCACCCACACGAGGACUGAGAUACGGCCUCG